CGCUGAACUUAAGCAUAUCAAUAAGCGGAGGAAAAGAAACCAACAGGGAUUGCCUCAGUAACGGCGAGUGAAGUGGCAACAGCUCAAAUUUGAAAUCUGGUUCCUCUGGGGCCCGAGUUGUAAUUUGUAGAGGAUGCCUUCGGGUUUGGCCCCGGCCUAAGUUCCUUGGAACAGGACGUCACAGAGGGUGAGAAUCCCGUAUGUGGCUGGAGGUCUAUACCCAUGUGAAGCUCCUUCGACGAGUCGAGUUGUUUGGGAAUGCAGCUCAAAAUGGGUGGUAAGUUUCAUCUAAAGCUAAAUAUUGGCGGGAGACCGAUAGCGCACAAGUAGAGUGAUCGAAAGAUGAAAAGCACUUUGGAAAGAGAGUUAAAAAGUACGUGAAAUUGUUGAAAGGGAAGCGCUUGCAACCAGACUUGCCCUUAGUUGAUCAACCGGUGUUCUUCACCGGUGCACUUGACUAGGGUCAGGCCAGCAUCGGUUUAUGCGGUUGGAAAAAGAUCGUAGGAAUGUGGCUCCCUUAGGGGAGUGUUAUAGCCUACGGUGUCAUGCAACCAGUUUAGACCGAGGACCGCGCCUUUGUGCUAGGAUGCUGGCGUAAUGGUUGUAAGCGACCCGUCUUGAAACACGGACCAAGGAGUCUAACAUCUAUGCAAGUGUUUGGGUGUUAAACCCAUGCGCGUAAUGAAAGUGAAUGGAGGUGGGAACCCCUAAGGGUGCACCAUCGACCGAUCCUGAUGUCUUCGGAUGGAUUUGAGUAUGAGCAUAGCUGUUGGGACCCGAAAGAUGGUGAACUAUGCCUGAAUAGGGUGAAGCCAGAGGAAACUCUGGUGGAGGCUCGCAGCGGUUCUGACGUGCAAAUCGAUCGUCAAAUUUGGGUAUAGGGGCGAAAGACUAAUCGAACCAUCUAGUAGCUGGUUCCUGCCGAAGUUUCCCUCAGGAUAA
RNAcentral lists this ribosomal RNA (942 nucleotides) under Geoglossum difforme. RNAcentral's name for it is "eukaryotic LSU rRNA". It matches the Rfam family "Eukaryotic large subunit ribosomal RNA", at positions 26 to 981 of the family's 3401-position model. The record is from RNAcentral. Lineage: Eukaryota; Fungi; Ascomycota; Geoglossomycetes; Geoglossales; Geoglossaceae.